This 699-nucleotide ribosomal RNA is filed under the name uncultured bacterium. RNAcentral's name for it is "bacterial SSU rRNA". It matches the Rfam family "Bacterial small subunit ribosomal RNA", at positions 8 to 697 of the family's 1533-position model. The record is from RNAcentral.
AGAGUUUGGAUCCUGGCUCAGAUUGAACGCUGGCGGCAUGCCUAACACAUGCAAGUCGAACGGAAACGAUGGGAGCUUGCUCCCAGGCGUCGAGUGGCGGACGGGUGAGUAAUACUUAGGAAUCUACCCAGUAGCGGGGGACAACUCGAGGAAACUCGAGCUAAUACCGCAUACGCCCUACGGGGGAAAGCAGGGGAUCUUCGGACCUUGCACUAUUGGAUGAGCCUAAGUCGGAUUAGCUUGUUGGUGAGGUAAAGGCUCACCAAGGCGACGAUCCGUAGCUGGUCUGAGAGGACGAUCAGCCACACUGGGACUGAGACACGGCCCAGACUCCUACGGGAGGCAGCAGUGGGGAAUAUUGGACAAUGGGGGCAACCCUGAUCCAGCAAUGCCGCGUGUGUGAAGAAGGCCUGCGGGUUGUAAAGCACUUUCAGUAGAGAAGAAAAGCCUACGGUUAAUACCCGUGAGUCUUGACGUUACCUACAGAAGAAGCUCCGGCUAACUCCGUGCCAGCAGCCGCGGUAAUACGGAGGGAGCGAGCGUUAAUCGGAAUUACUGGGCGUAAAGCGCGCGUAGGCGGCUUUGUAAGUCGGAUGUGAAAGCCCUGGGCUCAACCUGGGAAUGGCAUUCGAUACUGCAGAGCUAGAGUAUGGUAGAGGGAAGUGGAAUUUCCGGUGUAGCGGUGAAAUGCGUAGAUAU